CCCCUAGAUGUUCUGGGCCGCACGCGCGCUACACUGAACAGUUCAACAAGUCUUAACCUUGGCCGAUAGGUCUGGGUAAUCUUUGAACGCUGUUCGUGAUUGGGAUAGACCUUUGCAAUUAUGGGUCUUCAACGAGGAAUUCCUAGUAAACGCAAGUCAUCAGUUUGCAUUGAUUACGUCCCUGCCCUUUGUACACACCGCCCGUCGCACCUACCGAUUGAAUGGUCCGGUGAAAUCUCGGGACGGCGGCUUGGUCGCUUGCGUCCGACUGCUGAAACUUGAUUAAACCAUAUCAUUUAGAGGAAGGUGAANUCGUAACA
RNAcentral lists this ribosomal RNA (320 nucleotides) under uncultured eukaryote. RNAcentral's name for it is "partial 18S ribosomal RNA". It matches the Rfam family "Eukaryotic small subunit ribosomal RNA", at positions 1470 to 1796 of the family's 1831-position model. The record is from RNAcentral.